Molecule: long non-coding RNA, 1645 nt
Organism: Salvelinus fontinalis (brook trout)
Lineage: Eukaryota; Metazoa; Chordata; Actinopteri; Salmoniformes; Salmonidae
Exons: 2
Source: RefSeq, a predicted model, not a curated record
ACUCGCAGGGCGAGGGAGGAAGCAAUGAUUUUUAAAUGGACCACCAGUGGCCGGAAAUUCAUCACUCGUUCAUCCCGAGAUGAUUGUGUUUUCAGCCACCGGUGACUUGCGCUACAUUCAAUUAUGAGUGGAUGUCUACCUAUAUGAAAUAUCUAAUUAUAAUAUACGCCUACUGUAUGAUAGCUAGCAAAUUAAUUAGCUAACUAACGUUAGCUUGCCUAGCUGGAACUUGUUUUAUGUGUUGUUUUAUUUCUACAAUUACCAAAAUAUAACAAAAAAUAAACACACAAAAAAAAUACUUUUUAUGUAGUAGGAAAAUGUCUAACUUAUUUGAUUUCGUUUUUACUUACACUUGUAUGUUGACUUCUUCAUUGAUGUUGUUUUAUGGGGAGUUUCAGGCCCGGAGUGAACGUAAUUGUACACUCUUAAAGCCAACUAAAAACGAGAGCUGAGGGGCUUAGGUUGCAAACUUCCCUUGCUUGGCUAGUCAUUUGGAUUCCCCAAGGGCAUAGGCGAGGGUAAGUGGACGAGGGUGUGUCUUUUAAGUUUUUGGACCGUAACCCGAAUCUCUGCUAUUCACUCUGUAUCAUCCGACAGAGAACAUGGGUUCACGCAUUACUUGGUUCCUACUUUAUAAAAGUUUUGACACAUGACAUUCAUAAGUAUGAGCUAAUGCCAUUUUAAUUCGUACUUUACUUAACAAUGUACUUGUAGAUUCUUAUGACUGAAGGUAAGUAUAGAUGACUAGUGAAGCUUGACUUUAAAUACAAAACAAUACGUUUAUUAUUGGACCGCAUGUUGAACCAGAGAGGAAGAGGCGAAGUGAGAAGGUUUACUACCAUCAAAAUCUGUCCAUGAUAAGAAGACUGAUAUACCAGGGGUAUUCAGCGUGGGGUCCGCAGAGGUACUGCAGGGGGUCUACACAAUGUUUUUAUUUAUUUAUGUUUUUAUGAAUAUCGCUAGCAAAAACAGAAUAAACAAACUUUGACAUACCUACAGUACAAAAGAGAAUACCUUCUUUCUAAUGAUGUCAACUUCAUUUCUCCCCCGCACCUGCUGUCUCGACGUCAGAACGCUCGGCUAUGAAAAGACAACUGACAUUUACUCCUGAGGAGGACCUGAGCCUUAGGACCAUGCUUCGGGACUACCUGCCCUGACGACUCCUGUCUGUCCACGUCCCCAGUCCACACGGUUGUGCUGCUGAUCCAGUUUCUACUUUUCUGCCCUGACCAGUUCAGCGGUCGUGCUACCUUGUCCCGGACCUGCUGUUUCGACCCUCUCUCUCUCCCCCGCACCUGCUGUCUCGACGUCGGAACGCUCGGCUAUGAAAAGACAACUGACAUUUACUCCUGAGGUGCUGAACUUUUUCACCCUCUAUAACCCUAGCUUGCCUUCCCGCCUUUGUGCUCCCGAGUGGCACAGCGGUCUAAGGCACUACAUCUCAGUGCUAGAGGUGUCACUACAGACCCUGGUUUGAUUCCAGGCUAUAUUACCACUGGCCGUGAUUGGGAGUCCCAUAGGGCAGCGCACAAUUGGCCCAGCGUCGUCCGGGUUAGGGUUUGGCCGGGGAGGUCGUCAUUGUAAAUAAGAAUUUGUUCUACUGACUUGCAUAGUUAUUAAAUAAAGGUUAAAUAUAAAAAAAUAA